This 342-nucleotide ribosomal RNA is filed under the name Cherax preissii. RNAcentral describes it as "partial 12S ribosomal RNA". Lineage: Eukaryota; Metazoa; Arthropoda; Malacostraca; Decapoda; Parastacidae. The record is from RNAcentral.
ACUUGAAUAUUAGGAGUUAUGGGCUUUAAAUUCAAAGAAUUUGGCGGUAUUUUAGUCUUGUUAGAGGAACCUGUUCUGUAAGCGAUAUUACACGUAUAAUCUUACUUACUUUUGUUUUAGCUUGUAUACCGUCAUUAUUAGAUAACCUUUAUUGAGAGAGUUGUUGACCUAUAAAAAAAUUAGAUAUAUUAGAUCAAGGUGCAGUUAAUGGGUAAGUAGUAAUGGGUUACAAUGAAAUUUAUUUAAACGAAUUAAUGUUUGAAAAAUUAUUAUGAAGGAGGAUUUAAUUGUAACAUAAAUUUAAUAAGUUUAUGUGGUAUGAGAACUAGAAUAUGUACAUAU